UGGGGAAUAUUGCACAAUGGACGAAAGUCUGAUGCAGCAACGCCGCGUGGAGGAUGACACAUUUCGGUGCGUAAACUCCUUUUAUAUAGGAAGAUAAUGACGGUACUAUAUGAAUAAGCACCGGCUAACUCCGUGCCAGCAGCCGCGGUAAUACGGAGGGUGCAAGCGUUACUCGGAAUCACUGGGCGUAAAGAGCGUGUAGGCGGGUGUAUAAGUCAGAAGUGAAAUCCUAUAGCUUAACUAUAGAACUGCUUUUGAAACUGUAUACCUAGAAUGUGGGAGAGGUAGAUGGAAUUUCUGGUGUAGGGGUAAAAUCCGUAGAGAUCAGAAGGAAUACCGAUUGCGAAGGCGAUCUACUGGAACAUUAUUGACGCUGAGACGCGAAAGCGUGGGGAGCAAACA
RNAcentral lists this ribosomal RNA (402 nucleotides) under uncultured Arcobacter sp. RNAcentral's name for it is "bacterial SSU rRNA". It matches the Rfam family "Bacterial small subunit ribosomal RNA", at positions 355 to 774 of the family's 1533-position model. The record is from RNAcentral. Lineage: Bacteria; Pseudomonadati; Campylobacterota; Epsilonproteobacteria; Campylobacterales; Arcobacteraceae.